CAGUAGCCGCGGGAAUACGAAGGGGGCUAGCGUUGCUCGGAAUUACUGGGCGUAAAGGGCGCGUAGGCGGCGCUCCAAGUUAGGCGUGAAAUUCCCGGGCUCAACCUGGGGACUGCGCUUAAGACUGGAGUGCUUGAGGAUGGAAGAGGGUUGUGGAAUUCCCAGUGUAGAGGUGAAAUUCGUAGAUAUUGGGAAGAACACCGGUGGCGAAGGCGGCAACCUGGUCCAUUACUGACGCUGAGGCGCGAUAGCGUGGGGAGCAAACAGGAUUAGAUACCCCCGUAGUCCCUGUCUCUUAUAC
This 301-nucleotide ribosomal RNA is filed under the name uncultured bacterium. RNAcentral's name for it is "partial 16S ribosomal RNA". It matches the Rfam family "Bacterial small subunit ribosomal RNA", at positions 509 to 807 of the family's 1533-position model. The record is from RNAcentral.